GAUAGCACCUUUUAGGGGACCCAACAGAUCCGACGAAUGCGAUUCCAAACGUAACGCCAAAGAAAAGGUUGCUAAAACGAACUGCAAAAGAGGAAAGCACUAACCCCCAACACCAUUCAACACGGAGUACCAAAGCAAAAUGGAUUCCCUUCCACCUGCGAUGACGUGGCAAGGUAACGAAGCGAGAGUUCACGGAAGUUUGGCCCUCUAGUGGCAAACUUACGAAACGUCGAAUUCCGACGAAAAUCCCUAAUCGAUGUAACUAAUGAGUGGAUGCGAUGGUUAUUAACAAAAGAAAAAAACAAACAAAGCUAUCAAGAUUCCAGAAAUGACGAAGACUCUAGGGGACGCUCCACGGCGUUUGUUCCCACCUAGAGUGAAGCUCUGGGAUGGCGCGAUCCAUCCAGUUCCUUAUAGCAAGAACCAAGCUGAAACGAUCCAGAAGACCGAUCUACAAACAGCGAGGCUGAAACACUCAUCUGAGCCCCUCCAAGCUCAGAAUCAUCGCGACAGUCUUGCGACUGGGGGAGUCAAAAGCUCGGGACGAACCCUCCACCAAAGUUGUCCUUCAUUGCCACCGUGCCCAACCCAACCACCCAUGCACGAAAUGACGAAACGAAAAAAAAAACGAGUAAACAAAAUGUAAUCCGAUCCGAGAAUGCCAAUAAAAACCGAAAUAGCUA
Long non-coding RNA from Zophobas morio, 683 nucleotides. RefSeq lists it as uncharacterized. The transcript has 2 exons. The record is from RefSeq and is a predicted model, not a curated record. Lineage: Eukaryota; Metazoa; Arthropoda; Insecta; Coleoptera; Tenebrionidae.